GCCCCCAUAGUUUAAUGGAUAGAAUGGAAGAUUGCGGAUCUUCUGAUAGAGGUUCGAAUCCUCUUGGGGGCACCA
This 75-nucleotide transfer RNA is filed under the name bacterium. Its description in RNAcentral is "tRNA-Arg". It matches the Rfam family "tRNA". From Rfam's summary of the family: Transfer RNA (tRNA) molecules are approximately 80 nucleotides in length. The record is from RNAcentral.